UUUUGAAUCAAACCCUACUCUGUUGUCUGUUGUGGUUCUCUCUCCGCCUCCCUCAGCUCUCCGCCUUCCUCAGGGCCUCAGUUAUCUCUGUAUGGAAAAUAUUGGAGCAACUUUCACUUGGAGUUUGGAAAUGGAAGCUCUUUUGUAAUUACUUUAGCUUGUAAUUCUGAUGUUCAAUGAUCUGGAGAUAUCUUAGCAAGUUUUUCAUUCUUUAAUUUAGGUGAUGCGAUUUCCACAUUAAUUGUUUGGUCAAAAGUUGAGUUAAUGAAGUUGUACAUAGAGUUUUUCAAUGCUUUAUCUGGGAUUUGUUGGGUAUUGGAUCUUAUAAACAGUGAAAACAAGGCUGACUAGUUCUUUCUUUGGUGGGAGUGCUAUUGUUGGUUCUGUUGAAAGUUGCAUAUGAGAGAAUAUUGGGAACUAUUGAGGAUUUGAGAACUGUUAAA
Quercus robur (English oak) is the source of this 443-nucleotide long non-coding RNA. RefSeq lists it as uncharacterized. The transcript has 2 exons. The record is from RefSeq and is a predicted model, not a curated record. Lineage: Eukaryota; Viridiplantae; Streptophyta; Magnoliopsida; Fagales; Fagaceae.